CCUCGCAUUCGGAGGAGCGCAGCGCAGUGCCCACAAUGCCGCCCUUCACCCUGAGACCCGACCUGGCGAACUUCAACCCGGAGGUCCCCAAACUGGAGAAGAGCAUCAGCGGCACCAACCCCACCCGCGACCGUCUGCCCAUGGCUGCCAGCACCGCCCUGCUGCUGCUCCUGGCGCUGCUGCCCUCAUAGCCCCCACGGGGACCCCCACCCCAUAGGAGACCCCCACCCUAUAGGGGACCCCCCCCAACCCCAUAGGGGAGCCCUGACUGGAUCUGCUGUGGGGGGUGAGGUGGGGGGGAAGGGGGGGCAGCCCUCCUCCUUAUGGCUGUGCUGCCCUCAUAGCCCACCCUAUGGAGACCCCCAAAGACCCCCACCCCAUAAAGGACCCCCCCACCCUAUAGGGGACCCCCCAACCCCAUAGGGGAACCCAACCCCAUAGGGGUGCCUUGAGUGGGACUCAUCUGCUGUGGGGGGGAAAGGGGGGCAGCCCUGCUGCUGCUCCUGGCGCUGCUGCCCUCAUAGCCCCCACGGGGACCCCCACCCCAUAGGAGACCCCCACCCCAUAAGGGACCCCCCCCACCCCUAUAGGGGACCCCCAUCCCCCCCAACCCCAUAGGGGUGCCUUGAGUGGGACUCAUCUGCUGUGGGGGGGAGAAGGGGGGCCAGCCCUCCUCCUUAUGGCUGUGCUGCCCUCAUAGCCCGCCCUAUGGAGACCCCCAGAGACCCCCACCCCAUAAGGGACCCCCCCACCCUAUAGGGGACCCACUCACCCCAUAGGGGACCACCAUCCCCCCCAACCCCAUAGGAUCGCCUUCCAUCCUCCAUGGCUUUCCCAAUCAAUGGGGCACUGUGGGCUAUGGGGUCUCUUUAUGGGGUGUCGUUGUGAGGUCUCUUUGUGGGGUGGGUUUAUGGGACCCCCCCCCGACCCCAUAGGAUCUCCUUCCAUCCUCUGUGGGGCUCCCGAUCAAUGGGGCGCUGUGGGCUGUCUUUAUGGGGUCUCUUUAUGGGGUGGGUUUAUGGGACCCCCUCCCCCCCAAAACCCCAUAGGAUCGCCUUCCAUCCUCCAUGGGUCUCACGGUCAGUGGGGCACUGUGGGGUCCCUUUAUGGAGUCUCUUUAUGGGGUGGGUUUAUGGGACCCCCCCCAAAACCCCAUAGGAUCUCCUUCCAUCCUCCAUGGGACUCACAGUCAAUGGGGCACUGCGGGGUCCCUUUAUGGGGUCUCUUUAUGGGGUGGGUUUAUGGGACCCCCCCCCAAAACCCCAUAGGAUCGCCUUCCAUCCUCUAUGGGUCUCACAUUCAAUGGGGCACUGCAGGGUCCCUUUAUGGGGUCUCUUUAUGGGGUGGGUUUAUGGGCUCUCUUUAUGGGGUGGGUUUAUGGGGUCCAACCCCCCCCCCAGCGCCGCUAUGGGGCCGUUUGUGGGAUUCUCAUCGUCUUCCGUGAAGACCCCCCAGCUAUGCAAACGCACGGACACUUUUUGGGGUGAAAAAGGGGCAAAAAGGGCAAAAAGAGACACACAAAUGGGAAGGGCCGAAAGAACCCCGACCCCAAUGGGAGCCUUUGGGGUUUUUUGGGGGGUUUUUUGGCCUUUUUGGGGUUUUUUU
RNAcentral lists this long non-coding RNA (1605 nucleotides) under Gallus gallus (chicken). Lineage: Eukaryota; Metazoa; Chordata; Aves; Galliformes; Phasianidae. The record is from RNAcentral.